ACUUCCCGCCCAGAAGCUGCCGCGCCGGCUCCAUUUUCUGCGGCUGUAUAAGGAAUAGCGCUCCGGUAGCCGGGGAGCUGGAGGGGAACCUGAUUUGAGAUCAAUUCUUGGAGAACACAAAGAAGUGUGGUGGUAUGUUCCAGGAUUGAACCAGCUGCCCUUUGACCCUGCCAACAACAACGAACCCCUGCAGUUUGGUAGUGCCGGUGGCCCUUUGGUCACAGAAGGCCUCAUUGAGAAUGGAGGGGAGUCAAGCAAGAAAAGAAAGAGAGCAAAUACUC
Molecule: non-coding RNA, 281 nt
Organism: Miniopterus natalensis
Lineage: Eukaryota; Metazoa; Chordata; Mammalia; Chiroptera; Miniopteridae
Source: RefSeq, a predicted model, not a curated record